Molecule: ribosomal RNA, 1017 nt
Filed under: uncultured bacterium
Lineage: Bacteria
Description: bacterial SSU rRNA
Rfam family: Bacterial small subunit ribosomal RNA
Source: RNAcentral
UGAGGAAUAUUGGUCAAUGGACGCAAGUCUGAACCAGCCAUGCCGCGUGCAGGAAGACGGCUCUAUGAGUUGUAAACUGCUUUUGUACGAGGGUAAACUCACCUACGUGUAGGUGACUGAAAGUAUCGUACGAAUAAGGAUCGGCUAACUCCGUGCCAGCAGCCGCGGUAAUACGGAGGAUCCGAGCGUUAUCCGGAUUUAUUGGGUUUAAAGGAAGCGUAGAUGGAUGUUUAAGUCAGUUGUGAAAGUUUGCGGCUCAACCGUAAAAUUGCAGUUGAUACUGGAUAUCUUGAGUGCAGUUGAGGCAGGCGGAAUUCGUGGUGUAGCGGUGAAAUGCUUAGAUAUCACGAAGAACUCCGAUUGCGAAGGCAGCCUGCUAAGCUGCAACUGACAUUGAGGCUCGAAAGUGUGGGUAUCAAACAGGAUUAGAUACCCUGGUAGUCCACACGGUAAACGAUGAAUACUCGCUGUUUGCGAUAUACUGCAAGCGGCCAAGCGAAAGCGUUAAGUAUUCCACCUGGGGAGUACGCCGGCAACGGUGAAACUCAAAGGAAUUGACGGGGGCCCGCACAAGCGGAGGAACAUGUGGUUUAAUUCGAUGAUACGCGAGGAACCUUACCCGGGCUUAAAUUGCAGAUGAAUUACGGUGAAAGCCGUAAGCCGCAAGGCAUCUGUGAAGGUGCUGCAUGGUUGUCGUCAGCUCGUGCCGUGAGGUGUCGGCUUAAGUGCCAUAACGAGCGCAACCCUUGUUGUCAGUCACUAACAGGUUCCGCUGAGGACUCUGACAAGACUGCCAUCGUAAGAUGUGAGGAAGGUGGGGAUGACGUCAAAUCAGCACGGCCCUUACGUCCGGGGCUACACACGUGUUACAAUGGGGGGUACAGAGGGCCGCUACCACGCGAGUGGAUGCCAAUCCCCAAAACCUCUCUCAGUUCGGACUGGAGUCUGCAACCCGACUCCACGAAGCUGGAUUCGCUAGUAAUCGCGCAUCAGCCACGGCGCGGUGAAUACGUUCCC